RNAcentral lists this ribosomal RNA (496 nucleotides) under uncultured bacterium. RNAcentral's name for it is "partial 16S ribosomal RNA". It matches the Rfam family "Bacterial small subunit ribosomal RNA", at positions 28 to 507 of the family's 1533-position model. The record is from RNAcentral.
GAUGAACGCUGGCGGCGUGCCUAAUACAUGCAAGUCGAGCGAACAGACGAGGAGCUUGCUCCUCUGACGUUAGCGGCGGACGGGUGAGUAACACGUGGAUAACCUACCUAUAAGACUGGGAUAACUUCGGGAAACCGGAGCUAAUACCGGAUAAUAUAUUGAACCGCAUAGUUCAAUAGUGAAAGACGGUUUUGCUGUCACUUAUAGAUGGAUCCGCGCCGCAUUAGCUAGUUGGUAAGGUAACGGCUUACUAAGGCGACGAUGCGUAGCCGACCUGAGAGGGUGAUCGGCCACACUGAACUGAGACACGGUCCAGACUCCUACGGGAGGCAGCAGUAGGGAAUCUUCCGCAAUGGGCGAAAGCCUGACGGAGCAACGCCGCGUGAGUGAUGAAGGUCUUCGGAUCGUAAAACUCUGUUAUUAGGGAAGAACAAAUGUGUAAGUAACUAUGCACGUCUUGACGGUACCUAAUCAGAAAGCCACGGCUAACUACGUG